Molecule: ribosomal RNA, 415 nt
Filed under: uncultured bacterium
Lineage: Bacteria
Description: bacterial SSU rRNA
Rfam family: Bacterial small subunit ribosomal RNA
Source: RNAcentral
AACGAACGCUGGCGGCGUGGAUAAGACAUGCAAGUCGAACGCUAAUUUUUCAGUAGCAAUAUUGGAAAGUUGGAGUGGCGCAAGGGUGCGUAACACGUGGGUAAUCUACCGCGAAGACCGGAAUAACCCUGCUAGAAAAGUGGGCUAAUGCCGGAUGUGGGUUUACGGGGGCAUCUCCUGAAUCCUGAAGGUUGGGGACCGAAAGGCCUAACACUUUGCGAUGAGCCCGCGGCCUAUCAGCUAGUUGGUGAGGUAAAGGCUCACCAAGGCUAAGACGGGUAGCUGGUCUGAGAGGACGACCAGCCACACUGGAACUGAGACACGGUCCAGACACCUACGGGUGGCAGCAGUCGAGAAUUUUCACAAUGGGGGAAACCCUGAUGGAGCGACGCCGCGUGGGGGAUGGAAGGGCUUC